RNAcentral lists this ribosomal RNA (497 nucleotides) under uncultured bacterium. RNAcentral describes it as "partial 16S ribosomal RNA". It matches the Rfam family "Bacterial small subunit ribosomal RNA", at positions 28 to 507 of the family's 1533-position model. The record is from RNAcentral.
GAUGAACGCUGGCGGCGUGCCUAAUACAUGCAAGUCGAGCGAACGGACGAGAAGCUUGCUUGUCCGAUGUUAGCAGCGGACGGGUGAGUCACACGUGUAUAACCUACCUAUAAGACUGGGAUAACUUCGGGAAACAGGAGCUAAUACCGGAUAAUAUUUUGAACCGCAUGGUUCAAAAGUGAAAGACGGUCUUGCUGUCACUUAUAGCUGGAUCCGCGCUGCAUUAGCUAGUUGGUAAGGUAAAGGCUUACCAACGCAACGAUGCAUAGCCGACCCGAAGGGGUGGUCGGCCACCCGGGAACUGAGACACGGCCCAGACACCUGCGGGGGGCAGCAGUAGGGAAUCUUCCGCAAUGGGGGAAAGCCUGACGGAGGAACGCCGCGUGAGUGAUGAAGGUCUUCGGAUCGUAGAACUCUGUUAGUAGGGAAGAACAUAUGUGUAAGUAACUGUGCACAUCUUGACGGUACCUGAUCAGAAAGCCACGGCUAACUACGUG